UACAGAGGGUGCAAGCGUUGUUCGGAAUUAUUGGGCGUAAAGCGCGUGUAGGCGGCUUUGCAAGUCGGGUGUGAAAGCCCUCAGCUCAACUGAGGAAGUGCGCCCGAAACUGCAGAGCUUGAGUGCCGGAGAGGGUGGCGGAAUUCCCCAAGUAGAGGUGAAAUUCGUAGAUAUGGGGAGGAACACCGGUGCGAAGGCGGCCACCUGGACGGUACUGACGCUGAGGCGCGAAAGCGUGGGAGCAAACAGG
This 250-nucleotide ribosomal RNA is filed under the name uncultured bacterium. RNAcentral's name for it is "partial 16S ribosomal RNA". It matches the Rfam family "Bacterial small subunit ribosomal RNA", at positions 524 to 776 of the family's 1533-position model. The record is from RNAcentral.